RNAcentral lists this transfer RNA (71 nucleotides) under Marmota monax (woodchuck). RNAcentral describes it as "tRNA.Val". It matches the Rfam family "tRNA". From Rfam's summary of the family: Transfer RNA (tRNA) molecules are approximately 80 nucleotides in length. The record is from RNAcentral. Lineage: Eukaryota; Metazoa; Chordata; Mammalia; Rodentia; Sciuridae.
GGGGUUGUGGCUCAGUGGCAGAGUGCUUGCCUUACAAGUGUGAUGCACUGGGUUUGAUCCCCAGCACCACA